UGACCUCGGAUCAGGUAGGGAUACCCGCUGAACUUAAGCAUAUCAAUAAGCGGAGGAAAAGAAACCAACAGGGAUUGCCCCAGUAACGGCGAGUGAAGCGGCAAGAGCUCAAAUUUGAAAGCUGGCUCCUUCGGGGUCCGCAUUGUAAUUUGCAGAGGAUGCUUCGGGAGCGGUCCCCAUCUAAGUGCCCUGGAACGGGACGUCAUAGAGGGUGAGAAUCCCGUAUGGGAUGGGGUGUCCGCGCCCGUGUGAAGCUCCUUCGACGAGUCGAGUUGUUUGGGAAUGCAGCUCUAAAUGGGUGGUAAAUUUCAUCUAAAGCUAAAUAUUGGCCGGAGACCGAUAGCGCACAAGUAGAGUGAUCGAAAGAUGAAAAGCACUUUGAAAAGAGAGUUAAAAAGCACGUGAAAUUGUUGAAAGGGAAGCGCUUGCGACCAGACUCGCUCGCGGGGUUCAGCCGGCAUUCGUGCCGGUGUAUUUCCCCGCGGGCGGGCCAGCGUCGGUUUGGGCGGUCGGUCAAAGGCCCUCGGAAGGUAACGCCCCUAGGGGCGUCUUAUAGCCGAGGGUGCAAUGCGACCUGCCUAGACCGAGGAACGCGCUUCGGCUCGGA
This 607-nucleotide ribosomal RNA is filed under the name Penicillium crustosum. RNAcentral describes it as "eukaryotic LSU rRNA". It matches the Rfam family "Eukaryotic large subunit ribosomal RNA", at positions 1 to 611 of the family's 3401-position model. Lineage: Eukaryota; Fungi; Ascomycota; Eurotiomycetes; Eurotiales; Aspergillaceae. The record is from RNAcentral.